GUCGAGUGCGCGGUUGUAGCAAUACAACUGGCGCACGGCGCACGGGUGCGUAACACGUGGGCAAUCUGCCCUUCGAUGGGGAAUAACUCCGGGAAACCGAAGCUAAUUCCGCAUAACAUUCCUUGGACUUCGGUUCGAGGAUUCAAAGCCGUAAGGCGUCGAAGGAGGAGCCCGCGCACGAUUAGCUAGUUGGUAGGGUAACGGCCUACCAAGGCUUUGAUCGUUAGCUGGUCUGAGAGGAUGGCCAGCCACACUGGAACUGAGACACGGUCCAGACUCCUACGGGAGGCAGCAGUGGGGAAUCUUGCACAAUGGGCGAAAGCCUGAUGCAGCGACGCCGCGUGGGGGAUGAAGCAUCUCGGUGUGUAAACCCCUUUCGACCCGGACGAAUGCCUCGCAAGAGGAGUGACGGUACGGGUAUAAGAAGCCCCGGCUAACUACGUGCCAGCAGCCGCGGUAAGACGUAGGGGGCCAGCGUUGUUCGGAAUUACUGGGUGUAAAGGGUUCGUAGGCGGUGUGGCAAGUUGGGAGUGAAAUCUCUGGGCUCAACCCAGAGGCUGCUUCCAAAACUGCCAUGCUUGAGUGUGGGAGAGGCGCGUGGAAUUGCAGGUGUAGCGGUGAAAUGCGUAGAUAUCUGCAGGAACACCCGUGGCGA
RNAcentral lists this ribosomal RNA (655 nucleotides) under uncultured Acidobacteriota bacterium. RNAcentral describes it as "bacterial SSU rRNA". It matches the Rfam family "Bacterial small subunit ribosomal RNA", at positions 61 to 718 of the family's 1533-position model. Lineage: Bacteria; Pseudomonadati; Acidobacteriota. The record is from RNAcentral.